GACGAACGCUGGCGGCGCGCCUAACACAUGCAAGUCGAACGGAGCUUACAGACGGAAGCUCUCGGAUGGAAGGCUGUAAGCUUAUUGGCGGACGGGGAGGUAACACGUGAGCAACCUGCCUAACAGAGGGGGAUGACGAUUGGAAACGAUCGCUAAUACCGCAUGACAUAGCGGAAUCGCAUGGUUCUGUGAUCAAAGAUGUUAUCGCUGAUAGGUGGGCUGGCGUCCGAUUAGAUGGUUGGUGGGGUAAUGGCCUACCAAGUCGACGAUCGGUAGCCGGACUGAGUGGUCGAACGUCCACAUUGGGAAUGAGACAAGGCCCAGACUCCUACGGAAGGCAGCAGUGGGGGAUAUUGCACAAUGGGGGAAACACUGAUGCAGCGACGCCGCGUGAGGGAAGACGGUCCUCUGGAUUGUAAACCUCUGUCUUCGGGGACGACACGAGACGGUACCCGAGGAGGGAGCCACGGCUAACUACGUGCCAGCCGCCGCAGUAA
Molecule: ribosomal RNA, 497 nt
Filed under: uncultured bacterium
Lineage: Bacteria
Description: partial 16S ribosomal RNA
Rfam family: Bacterial small subunit ribosomal RNA
Source: RNAcentral